This 253-nucleotide ribosomal RNA is filed under the name uncultured bacterium. Its description in RNAcentral is "partial 16S ribosomal RNA". It matches the Rfam family "Bacterial small subunit ribosomal RNA", at positions 524 to 776 of the family's 1533-position model. The record is from RNAcentral.
UACGUAGGUGGCAAGCGUUGUCCGGAAUUAUUGGGCGUAAAGAGCUCGUAGGUGGUUUGUCGCGUUGUUCGUGAAAACCGGGGGCUUAACCCUCGGCGUGCGGGCGAUACGGGCAGACUGGAGUACUGCAGGGGAGACUGGAAUUCCUGGUGUAGCGGUGGAAUGCGCAGAUAUCAGGAGGAACACCGGUGGCGAAGGCGGGUCUCUGGGCAGUAACUGACGCUGAGGAGCGAAAGCGUGGGGAGCGAACAGG